UUCGUCUACAACGGAGGUGUUGUUGUGUUUGGUUCGUCUACAGACGAAGAUGUUGUGUCUGCUGGCUCCUCGUCCUCUUCACCUUCAACAUACAACAUACGUAUCUUGACUUGUAUUGAGAGUUGAAUCAAUUACUUUGAAGUGUGAAGUGUUCCUGGUGAUGUAUUUGUUAUUUCGAUACGCAGUAAUCAUCGUACCUUUCUUCUUCACAACUUGAAAUGGAUUCGGGUCAAAACGAGUUGAAAGUUUGUUUUGUUUUCGUUGCUUUGCGAGGACAGUAUCACCAAUUUUGAGUUGGGAUGGUUGUGCUCUUCUCUUCAGAUCAGCCUGCUCUUUCAUUGUGUUUUUUGCUUUGAUAUCAUUCUCUUUGGCCUGAGCGUGUGCAUCUGAUAUCUUUGGAUCCAGUAUGUGUAGUUGUGGCAGUUUGUUUUGAACCUUUCGGUUAAAUAGAAGUUCAGAUGGAGCAAAUUUAGUAGUCGUGUGAGGAGUAGUCCGGUAAUUGAGAAGAAAUUUGUAGAGGUGUUUUGUCCAUGACUUGCCUUCUGCAUGUGCUGAUCGGAUUGCUUUCGUUAGUGGUUUCAUGAAGUUUUCCGCUUCAGAAUUUACCUGGGGCCAUAGUGGUGUAACUCUUCGGUGUUGUAUUCCAUUUUCUUCCAUGUAUUGUUGUAUCUCGUGACUCGUAAAUGGUGGGCCAUUGUCACUGCAGAUUAUGGCAGGGAUGCCGUGUACAGUGUACAGCGAACAUCCGAUGGAAGCAGCUGAAGUUGAACGCACAAUGUCGACUUCUGGAAACCGUGAAUAGGCAUCAAUCACAACGAAAAGAUAUUCUCCUGAAGGGAAGGGACCACAAAAAUCCAUGUGUGUUGUGUGCCAGGGGGUUGGGGGAAGUGAAGACAUUUGUAGUGGGUCUGGACGGUUCUCGGGACCGUUUGCCUGGCAUGCAAUGCAUGUGUCGAUCAGUCUUUUGGCAAUACUGUCGAUUUUAGGGAACCAAACUUUCUCUCUCAACAGUCGUUUGGUUUUAACCAGUCCUUGAUGGCCUUCGUGUGCUAAUGAUAUUGCUUUCUCCCGCAACAAAGAGGGUAUUACGAUUCGAUGGUCUCGUAGUAUGAUGUUGGACGAAUCAUUAACUGUCAGUUCGUCUUUGACAUGUUUAAACAAGUUCAGUUCUGUAUGAUCAAUGUUUUGGAAUUCUGGUGAGAGCGUUUCGAGCUUGUCCCAUUCCUGAGUUCAUACGAGAUGAGUUACACACUGCAAAGUCCUGUCUUGAACUGUUGCCUUUUGAAUUUCAUCCAAUGUCAUGGCUUUAGGUACUGCAUGUGAGGAGAGGAAAUUGACAUAUUCCUCUGCUAGAGAGCUCUGUCUCGUUUCUUUAAUGCUUGAGUGUCGUGAUAGGUAGUCAGAUGGGUUUUUCAGUCCUUCAGUCCUUCAAUAUGUGCCACUUCAAAGUCAUAACCUUGCAGACGGAGGUUCCAGCGCUCUAUCCGGGCUGGGGGCUUAGAUCUGGGGUUGUUGAAGAUGAGUUGAAGAUGAGUUGCACUGGUUUGCAAUCCAUAAUGAGUUUGAAACGACUACCAUAGAGGUAGAUGUGCAAUUUUUCUAUUGCCCAAACAAUGGCAAGGGCCUCUUUCUCAGUCUGGGAAUAUCGUCGUUCUACUGGUGUGAGAGCCCGACUGACAUACGCGACAACUCCUGUACCAGGAUUGCGGAUAGUCCAAUGGGAGAAGCAUCCGUGAUCACUUCUGUUUCCUUCUUAGGAUCGAAAUAUGCCAUGACCUGAGCACUGGAGAGGAGAUCCUUGAUUUGGUUAAACGACUGUUCAUGUCGCCUGGACCAUUGAAAUGGUUGGUUUUUCUUCGUUGAUUCGCGAAGGGGCUCGGAAACAUCACUAAACUUGUGAAUGAAUUUGGCACAGUACGUAGCCAUCCCUAAAAAACUACGCACUCCACUGGCAGUGGUUGGUGCUUGGGCACUUUUGAUGGAGUUGACUUUGUCAGGAUCAGGGGCAAUGCCUUUGUCUGAGAAAACAAAUCCAAAAAACGUGAUGGAGGGCUUGUUAAACUCGCACUUGUUUUUGUUUAGGGUGAGAUUUGAGUCUGCAAACUUUUGACACACGCUUGCUAAAGCAGUAUCAUGCUCUGCUUUUGUCUUGCCAAACACAAUGACAUCGUCACUUAUGUUGAGGGAAUUUGGGAUGUUUUGGAGUUGGUCUUGGAUUGCCUUUUGGAAAAUUUCGCUUGCAGAAUUUGUUCCAAAGUUAAGUCGAGUGUAUCUCCAAAGCCCUUUGUGCGUGGCAAAGGUGGUGAUAUAACGGCUUUCUAGCAAUAGUCACUUUGCUGGGUACUAUGUAUACAAUUAUGAGGUCUCAGUGUACCAACCCACUGUGAUAUUUAUGAGCCUCUUGCUGGUUAUAUAGUAGGGUAUUGCAAUCUUGUACUUUGGGAUGGAGUCCCAUUUUAGUGGCUGUGUGGGCAUUAUUAUUAUCACUCCCAUGUAAUUUGGUCACCAAGUUCGUUUAGUUUAGUUGUUACCCGAGCGCGAGGUGCACGCAUGGGCGGCCACGGUUGGUUGGUUUGUUUGUAACAGGUGAAUCUACUCACCUAGAUGCCACAGCUAGCAUGGAUAGUCUUCACACAACAAGUUAUUAGUUUUGUGUUAAACACCUUCGUUGUCAAAUAAAACUUAUCGCAUGGGUAGCUUCCUAUCAAGGGGUUGUGCAAGGCCUGGAGUUUUUCGCAGAAAUAUGUCUUCUGAAGAUGUCAGAAGUACAAUUUUGGAUUUUGUGUAUAGAGAAGGUGUAGCACUGGCUUGGCUGGUCAGGGCAUCUUAUCUGUAAGAUACACUAGAGGUGUGUUCAUGCAUGCAUAAUUGUUUAAAAUAGGAUUGUGUUUAAAAUAGGAAUUGGACGACUCAAUUGAGGGUGAAUCGUCUGGUGUGCCUGUGGCGAGAACCCUACUCUCGUGUGUGAAUCGUCUGGUGUGCCUAUGGCCCUUAGUGAGCCUCGUGGGUGAAUUGUCUGGUGUGCUCUUAGUGAGAACCCUACCCAUGUGGACGAGAACAAUGAAACUCUAGAACAAAGAAGAUCCAUCAUACGUACGUACAACGAAUCACUGCAGGCGGACCGAGAAAAAGAUCUGUACCAGUUUGCUCUGAAGAAAGGAGCAAAGAAAGGAGCAUUGAGUGGGUGUAGACAAAUAAUAUUAUUCAUGGUUGAUGACCACAGUGUGGUAGCUCUGCAAAUAAAUGUACAUUGCUACCCAUGCUGUAAAUGCAGUGCUAGAGAAUCCAGGUAAGCACAGGUUUUACAAAGGUGUUUAACCCUUUAACCGCCACGGGCCACGAUUGUGGCCCGCAAUAGUGAUUCUGCGAUACUUAGGAAGUAGCUCGACUACGCACAUCCCUGUAUAGAGGAAGAGCUGUAGAAUCACGUGCAAUUUAGUCUAGAAAUUUCCAAGCCACGUUGCUAUGUUAAAAUUUCAUUAGCAUCUUACCGCACGAAGUUUAUAGCUAGCUUACCGCACGAAGUUUAUAGCUAGCUAGCUAUGGCUAGGUUGUCAAGCUAAAAAAUUUUUUUGGGAUUUUAUCUCACCGCUGGCCGAGCAUUUAAAAUUAUAAAAAUGGGUGAGCGUAAUAACCGUGGUUGUUACGGCAACACAUGUUGCACCAUUUUAUAUGGGUAUUUUAGAGAACUUACAGACGUUUCACUUCACUGUUAAUUAAGAAUCCGACGGUUAAAGGUUUAACACAAAACUAAUAACUUGUUGUGCAAGUGUAAGCUUUCAAAACCUGCUUGCUCCUAAACCCUAACCUCAUAAUUAUUAUUUCAGUCACAAAUGUCUCUCUUCUAUAGACUGUAACUCGGCUGCAGGAUAAAGUAACCUUUGAACCCUAUGAACUCUCUGCUUUUCCUUCUUUUUGCCUCCAAUUGACCGCAGCGGGUAACAAGCCAAGAAAUCUUUGGGCGUGUUGACACAACUUCUACAUAGGAAACCGACCUAGCGUUCAAAUAGAAAACAUCCGGGGCUGGCUGUGCGAGACUAUUCUAAUAGUAGCAGCUUUGGGUACCAGGAACAAUGGAACAGGGUUGCUACGGUAGCUACGGUAAAAAGCUAUAAAGCUAUAGAAUUAUAGCUCCUGCUGCCUAGCCAGUUAGUUAGCUGACCUACUCCAUGCAUGCAGGUACUCCAUGCAUGCAGGACCACGUAUACUUUGCACAGUGCGUAUAUAUCUGUAGUACCACUACCUGUUUUCAAAUUUUUCAGCAUGCCUCCAGUCUGGUUUAGUUUUUUUGCUCGACAAGUAAGAGGAGGGGCUGUCAAUAUUGCGCAUGCAUGCACAAUCUAGCUGAAUGAAACCUCGCUCAAUACAAUGGCCACUGCAAAUAAAAGGAGUGAGCUUAACAAGACUAACGUACUGUAAGUCGAUAAAAAACUAUUCUAGCUAGCAGCUUCCCUUCUGGCCACAGUACAUGUACAAAAGUAUCUUCCUCAAUGGCAUCCGUUAAUUUGGAAAUUUCAUGUAUUCUGAUCACUAUAAUUAUUUGCUACAGUUAUGAAAACAUGAGCUUCAAAAUGUUCUAUGCUAGAUAAACGUGGGCCCUAUGUGCGAUAAAUUACAAGACUAGUUGACAAUUUAGAUUGACUGUAUUGCAGGUACGGGCUGAGAUAAGUAAGGUUACUGUGUGAGGGUAGGGAAAGUACCGUCUGAGAAAAAUGCUGUAGCUCUGAAGAAGAACUUUCCAGCAUUCUAUGGGAACUCCAAGAAGAGGAAGGAAGUUUGACCCUACCGCGGUAGCAGAUCAACAAAAAAAGAAAAAGUCUACAAACACCAGGAUAAAACCUCGAAUGUUUAACAUCGUUUUGUUGGCCAAAAUGACAAUCUUUGUACCAACGCGAGGGGAGGACGGGAGGACGCGAGGGGAGGAUUUUGAAGCUUGUUAUUCGAAGAUGUCAGAAGUACAAUUUUGGAUGGCUUUUCAGAUUUGUGUAUAGAGAAGGUGUAGGCUGGGGGCACUGGCUUGUUUGACCUGGCUGGUCAGGGCAGUGUGUAUAUCUUAUCUGAUGAAUCCACAUUGGACGACGUGGACGACUCAAUUGAGGGUGUAUCAUCUGGUGUGCCUAUGGCUCUUAGUAGUGAGAACCCUAUACCCACGUGGGGUGAAUCGUCUGUGGCGAGAACCCUACUCUCGUGUGUGAAUCGUCUGGUGUGCCUAUUCGUCUGGUGUGCCUAUGGCUCUUAGUGAGAACUAUACCCUCGUGGGUGAAUUGUCUGGUGUGCGGACGAGAACAAAGAAGAUCCAUCAUACUUGCGCGUACAACGAAUCACUGCAGGCGGACC
Molecule: long non-coding RNA, 5337 nt
Organism: Halichondria panicea
Lineage: Eukaryota; Metazoa; Porifera; Demospongiae; Suberitida; Halichondriidae
Exons: 3
Source: RefSeq, a predicted model, not a curated record